This 497-nucleotide ribosomal RNA is filed under the name uncultured bacterium. Its description in RNAcentral is "partial 16S ribosomal RNA". It matches the Rfam family "Bacterial small subunit ribosomal RNA", at positions 28 to 507 of the family's 1533-position model. The record is from RNAcentral.
GAUGAACGCUGGCGGCGUGCCUAAUACAUGCCAGUCGAGCGAACAGACGAGGAGCUUGCUCCUCUGACGUUAGCGGCGGUCGGGUGAGUAACACGUGGAUAACCUACCUAUAAGACUGGGAUAACUUCGGGAAACCGGAGCUAAUACCGGAUAAUAUAUUGAACCGCAUGGUUCAAUAGUGAAAGACGGUUUUGCUGUCACUUAUAGAUGGAUCCGCGCCGCAUUAGCUAGUUGGUAAGGUAACGGCUUACCAAGGCAACGAUGCGUAGCCGACCUGAGAGGGUGAUCGGCCACACUGGAACUGAGACACGGUCCAGACUCCUACGGGAGGCAGCAGUAGGGAAUCUUCCGCAAUGGGCGAAAGCCUGACGGAGCAACGCCGCGUGAGUGAUGAAGGUCUUCGGAUCGUAAAACUCUGUUAUUAGGGAAGAACAAAUGUGUAAGUAACUAUGCACGUCUUGACGGUACCUAAUCAGAAAGCCACGGCUAACUACGUG